UACGAAGGGGGCUAGCGUUGCUCGGAAUUACUGGGCGUAAAGAGCGCGCAGGCGGUCGUGCAAGUCGCGUGUGAAAGCCCCCGGCUCAACUGGGGAGGGUCACGCGAUACUGCUCGACUUGAAGGCAGGAGAGGGAAGCGGAAUUCCCGGUGUAGUGGUGAAAUGCGUAGAUAUCGGGAGGAACACCAGUGGCGAAGGCGGCUUCCUGGCCUGUUCUUGACGCUGAGGCGCGAAAGCUAGGGUAGCAAACGGG
This 253-nucleotide ribosomal RNA is filed under the name uncultured bacterium. RNAcentral's name for it is "partial 16S ribosomal RNA". It matches the Rfam family "Bacterial small subunit ribosomal RNA", at positions 524 to 776 of the family's 1533-position model. The record is from RNAcentral.